RNA transcript from Hemiscyllium ocellatum (epaulette shark), 3952 nucleotides. It is a transcript of the gene named transmembrane protein 71, with no coding region annotated. The transcript is spliced from 12 exons. The record is from RefSeq and is a predicted model, not a curated record. Lineage: Eukaryota; Metazoa; Chordata; Chondrichthyes; Orectolobiformes; Hemiscylliidae.
CAGCUUUCAGUGUGAAGGGGGUACACUGUGUCGUCGGAAAGAACUGAUUCUGAGGAAGGGGCUGAGGGAGGGAGUGAUCCACAAUGAGUCCUGGGGCAUCCCUAUUGUUUGCAUUUUGCUGAGUCUAAUGGCCUGAGACUUGACGAUCUAAAUCAAUCAGUCAUUAUUUGUCCUGUAGAAAGUGCUGUGUUGAUUUCAACAGCGAAUUGCAUUGAUAUCAUUUUAAUCAUCGUGUUUGGAGAAGCUCAAAUCCUUUUCUGGGUUUGACUGUUAAAGGUUGGACAAGCAUCAGAAAUGUAUCCUGCAUUGUCAACUUCAUUACCUGUUGCACAGAUGUUCCCAAGUGUUCAACAAGAGACAUCUACCGAAGAGACUCUCCAUAGAUUAUCUUUGAUGACCAGUGAGAACUCUAAUUCACCUUGGCACCUAAAUUCGCUGACUGGCUCCCCCUGUAUGUGCCGUCGGAGUCCUCGCUUGCUAACAAAUGGCUAUUAUGAUCUCAGUGAAGAGAGCUUCAUGGAUGAGGAGGGCAAUCUCACUCUCACGCCAUCUAAAAUAAACAUCAGUUACAAGGAGAAUCUUGUACGAAUUUUCCGCCGGAAGAAGAAGGUUCGUCGAUCCUUUGCAAGUCUUUUUUCAAUUGACUCCUCCAGUUCCUGGUUGAAUAGCAGUCUUUUCAGUGGAACUGAAUGUCCUCUUGCAGAAUCCUCUUGGAUUGAUGGAGGAAGUGAUUUUGACUCCAGUUUUAGUAACAAUCAAGGAGGAAACAGUGCUGACUCGACCUCCACUGGUCGAUCCUGGUUGUCAGAAGAGAAUCUGCCCCUCAUUGAUACUGACGCCUGCACCAAAGAAAGUUUAUUGAUAAACAAAUCAACAGGAGGCUUUUUUGAACUUCCUUUUCAUUCAUCAUUGCAUCCUACAAAGUGCUCCCUCAGUAACAUGACAAGAGGUCCAGAUUUUAUGACUGUCAAGAAUUUCUUUUUUCAUCUGAUCAUUUUGGUCCUCUCAAUAUGUGUCGCCGUGUUUGCAAGGUGGUUCCUUGGAGGAGUGGUUGCUGCCUUACUUGUGACUUUGCUGGUGUUUGCAGCUGUGCUACACACAGCAAAAUCUGCAUAUCCCUGCUUUAUUAAAUCUCACAAUAUCUUGGACCAUGUACAGUCUGAGGAAAUCACAACAAAACAAGACUGAGAUCUUGCUGCAUGAGAGCUACUAAAUACAAGAUCCAGAUUUGGGCUGAAAAGUGAAUUUGAAGAACAAUUAUAUGUGAACUGCUUCAUAGCAGCACUAGGGAUGAAGUUGGAAAAGCCUUGACAAUUUUGACAAGUGGGAAGCACAUCACGUUGAACUGACGGGAGACGCAAUGAUCCUUUCUCUCUUGAUCUUAAGCACGGUUCUUCGCUUCACAAUUCUAGAGAAAACCAAGCAGUUAAAUCAUUUCAGAAAUCAAGAUGCUCUUUUAAAGGAGAAUGAAAAUGUCAAACGGACUUGAAUAUAAGAAACUAUUCUCUCUUGCCCUUACACAUCUAGCUUCAAAUGAUCUUUAAAUCUCACCUUGCUUCAUUUCCACGCUGAGCCAUUUCAAUGGUCUCCACGGAGGAAUGGCUGAUGAAAGACUCUUAAAAUGUGGCAGAGACUUAUCCUUGGCUAAUCCUAGGUGUCCUUGUGUCCAUUAUCUUUUGACCUCUUUGAAAUCCAGGUAUGUGUUCAGUUGGUGGAGGCCACAAAUAAUCUAAGCAGCAUCACAAUUCAUGUACAUUCAGCCAUUCUGUCUAUGAGAUAGUAACUGUUGUGCAGCAAGAGCAUUCCUAAAAUGAUGCCAUACUAGCUCACUAUGCCUCACUUAUGAAAAGAGAGAAAGACAAUUAAAGAUGCUGGCAGCUGCUACUAUUAUAGAUGAUGUGGAUAUCAGAUUUAAGAGAACUUCAUCUCCUUAAAUCAUUGGGCUGGGCUGCAGAUCCAGCUUUAGCAUUUUGUUUGAUAUCAUUCAUUCUGCUUUCCUGCUGAUCAGUGCCCACAUAGAACCAACAUCCAGCACCAGUCACUAAGCAUAUGUGCCUACCCAUGAUGAUGUUGCCACUUAUCAAACUCAUGAUGCAAACAGUCCAAGGGCAUUUGUUUGGGUUCCAGCCCUUAGAGGGUUAUGCCAGGUGAGUUUCAGUCCAUGCCCUUUCAAAGUGGGGUCUUUAGACCGCUGUCCCAAACUUUAUUGCACCAGCUUAGGGAGCUUUGGACAGUGCAGUUGCUCAAGAUUAAACUCAACAAAAGUCACUGCAUCUCUUGCCAAAGACACAUUCCAGAAGGAAGUGCACGACAGUUUCUUCCCAAUCACAGCCGUCUCAAGAACACUGCAUUCAGAGUUCUCACAUCUCCAGCUAACCUCCUUAAAGCAUUCACCACUGUACCUCCCAACAGAGCUGGGGAGUAAAAGGGCUUUGGCAGCAUCCAACAUUGCUAAUGGACCCCAAUGAUAUGUUUGCUUUAGGUAGUCAUGGCCAUGGAAAUCUCCUGCUGAACAUAGAAUCCCUAUAGCACAGAUAAAGGCCAUUUGGCCCAUUAAGUCUGCAACAACCCUCUUAAGAGAUUCCCACUCUAUCCCUGUAACCCCACAGUUACCAUUACUAAUCCACCAGAUCUAUAUAUCUCUGGACACUACAGGCAUGGCCAAUCCAUCCAAGCUGCACAGUUUUACACUGUGGAAAGAAACCACAGCAUUCGGCAGAGACACAUGCAGACUCAGGGAGAGCAUUCAAACUCAACACAGAUUGUCACCCAAGACUGGAAUCAAACCAGGGUCCCUGGUACUGUGGUGCAGUGCUAACCACAGAGCAACUGUGUGGAAGCACCUAAUAGCAGCUAGGGCAUUGAAUUCAAGUUUGGUGGAAAACAUAAUUGUUCAUUUGUAAGAGUGGAUAAGUAGUGCCAGCAUUAUCCGGAUUCUGAAGAGGUUAACUGCCACUCUGAGCUUGGCAUGAAAAGUGAAAGAGUAAACAGGGAGAGAAAUCCCCUUCACUAAUCUUCCUGUCACAGAAUCUUUUCUCGGCACAGCAUCGUAACCACAAAAACACCUGCUGGAGACCAAGUGCAGUUUUCACGGUGAGAAGGGUUUCCUUCAUUUUGUGUGGCAUCCCCACUGAUUGGGACAGAUAGAGAACUGAUCCAUCAGCUUUAUAGUGGAAAUCCAUGAGGGUCACUGGGCAAUAUUUUGUACAUUGGGGCUUUUCGAGUUUGGUUAACACAAAGAGUUUCUAAAUUUCCAACGUCUGGGUUAUUACUUUGGAACCAUAUGGACCUACCCCUGCUAAUCAGUUGAUUAUUUGAACAUUUUAGAUUAGAUUACUUACAGUGUGGAAACAGGCCCUUCGGCCCAACAAGUCCACACCGACCCGCCGAAGCGCAACCCACCCAUACCCCUACAUUUACCCCUUACCUAACAAUACGGGCAAUUUAGCAUGACCAAUUCACCUGACCCGCACAUCUUUGGACUGUGGGAGGAAACCCACGCAGACACGGGGAGAAUGUGCAAACUCCACACAGUCAAUCGCCUGAGUCGGGAAAUGAACCCGAGUCUCAGGCGCUGUGAGGCAGCAGUGCUAACCACUGUGCCACCGUGCCGCCCACGAACAUGCUAAACAUGAACAGUGGAAUUUAUUUGACUACUGAAAGAUAUCAUUUAAGAAUAAGCAAACACAAAAUGCUAUGAAUGUUACCGAUAAGCAUAUUAAUGUCUAUCUGAAAAGUUACUUGCAUUUGUUUACUUUCUUUCGCAAUAAAUUGCUUAAAACCGACCUUGAUAAUGCCCUUCAAGAUUUGUGCCAUCGAUUCAAAGCAGAUUUGAUGAUCGAUUCACCAGGGCUGUAAUACAGCUGCAAUUUUUCAAGUUUUAUUUAAGGAUGGAUUUAUUUGCUCAACUGUAAUAAAAGAUUGUUUUUCCCUCUCACCUCAAAUCAAUUUG